CAAGCGGUGGAGCAUGUGGUUCAAUUCGACGCAACGCGAAGAACCUUACCUGGGCUCGAACGGCUUCUCAACGCCGGUGGAAACAUCGGUACCUCGCAAGGGGGUGGAGUCGAGGUGCUGCAUGGCUGUCGUCAGCUCGUGUCGUGAGAUGUUGGGUUAAGUCCCGCAACGAGCGCAACCCUUGUCCUGUGUUGCCAUGCCCGAAAGGGCGGAACUCGCAGGAGACCGCCAGCGAUAAGCUGGAGGAAGGUGGGGAUGACGUCAAGUCCUCAUGGCCUUUAUGUCCAGGGCUACACACGUGCUACAAUGGACGGUACAAUACGUCGCUAACCCGCGAGGGGGAGCCAAUCGCCAAAAACCGUUCUCAGUUCGGAUUGCAGGCUGCAACUCGCCUGCAUGAAGCUGGAAUCGCUAGUAAUGGCAGAUCAGCACGCUGCCGUGAAUACGUUCCCGGGCCUUGUACACACC
RNAcentral lists this ribosomal RNA (468 nucleotides) under uncultured bacterium. RNAcentral describes it as "bacterial SSU rRNA". It matches the Rfam family "Bacterial small subunit ribosomal RNA", at positions 926 to 1391 of the family's 1533-position model. The record is from RNAcentral.